Long non-coding RNA from Varanus komodoensis (Komodo dragon), 472 nucleotides. RefSeq lists it as uncharacterized. NCBI's taxonomy places the organism in Eukaryota, Metazoa, Chordata, Lepidosauria, Squamata, Varanidae. The record is from RefSeq and is a predicted model, not a curated record. The transcript is spliced from 3 exons.
CUCCUGGAGAAGCGGAAUAUUCCCAGCCCGCCCCUUUCCCCAACUUUCGGCCAAUGGGGACGCCACUUCCAGUCCGAGCAGGCUGAGGCGCAUGGACGUCCGCCAGUUCUCGCAUUCUAAGGAGCAGAAGGAUGGGGGACAUUCCUACAGGGUGGCACAACAUUGCUCAACUACAGUGAUAAAGAAAGGAUGGCAAGUACGCUGUACUUGGAGAUGCAGAAUCAACCUCGCCCAGUGCCUUCCAGAUGUCUUAGACCACAGCUCCCAUCAUCCCCAGCCGGCAUGCACAACAGUCAACAGAAUGCUCAACGGUGAAGCUGCUCUUCCUUUUCAUUAGAGGAUGAACACAAAACUAAAGCAAACAUGGAUGAACAAGAGAUUGUACUUUCCUCUGCUUUCCAAAAGGGAGGGAGGGAGGGAGGGAGGGAGGGAAGAAUGGUAGGGUGCCAAAUCAAGCAAAAGGAUGUUUUAA